GAUGAACGCUGGCGGCGUGCCUAAUACAUGCAAGUCGAGCGAACGGACGAGAAGCUUGCUUCUCUGAUGUUAGCGGCGGACGGGUGAGUAACACGUGGAUAACCUACCUAUAAGACUGGGAUAACUUCGGGAAACCGGAGCUAAUACCGGAUGAUAUUUUGAACCGCAUGGUUCAAAAGUGAAAGACGGUCUUGCUGUCACUUAUAGAUGGAUCCGCGCUGCAUUAGCUAGUUGGUAAGGUAACGGCUUACCAAGGAAACGAUGCAUAGCCGACCUGAGAGGGGGAUCGGCCACACUGGAACUGAGACACGGUCCAGACUCCUACGGGAGGCAGCAGUAGGGAAUCUUCCGCAAUGGGCGAAAGCCUGACGGAGCAACGCCGCGUGAGUGAUGAAGGUCUUCGGAUCGUAAAACUCUGUUAUUAGGGAAGAACAUAUGUGUAAGUAACUGUGCACAUCUUGACGGUACCUAAUCAGAAAGCCACGGCUAACUACGUG
Molecule: ribosomal RNA, 497 nt
Filed under: uncultured bacterium
Lineage: Bacteria
Description: partial 16S ribosomal RNA
Rfam family: Bacterial small subunit ribosomal RNA
Source: RNAcentral